This 484-nucleotide ribosomal RNA is filed under the name uncultured bacterium. RNAcentral describes it as "partial 16S ribosomal RNA". It matches the Rfam family "Bacterial small subunit ribosomal RNA", at positions 30 to 507 of the family's 1533-position model. The record is from RNAcentral.
AUUGAACGCUGGCGGCAGGCCUAACACAUGCAAGUCGAGCGGAUGAAGGGAGCUUGCUCCUGGAUUCAGCGGCGGACGGGUGCGUAAUGCCUAGGAAUCUGCCUGGUAGUGGGGGAUAACGUCCGGAAACGGGCGCUAAUACCGCAUACGUCCUGAGGGAGAAAGUGGGGGAUCUUCGGACCUCACGCUCUCAGCUGAGCCUAGGUCGGAUUAGCUAGUUGGUGGGGUAAAGGCCUACCAAGGCGACGAUCCGUAACUGGUCUGAGAGGAUGAUCAGUCACACUGGAACUGAGACACGGUCCAGACUCCUACGGGAGGCAGCAGUGGGGAAUAUUGGACAAUGGGCGAAAGCCUGAUCCAGCCAUGCCGCGUGUGUGAAGAAGGUCUUCGGAUUGUAAAGCACUUUAAGUUGGGAGGAAGGGCAGUAAGUUAAUACCUUGCUGUUUUGACGUUACCAACAGAAUAAGCACCGGCUAACUUCGUG